UGGGGAAUUUUGGACAAUGGGCGAAACGCUGAUCCAGCAAUGCCGCGUGUGUGAAGAAGGCCUUCGGGUUGUAAAGCACUUUUGUCCGGAAAGAAAUCCUUGGCUCUAAUACAGUCGGGGGAUGACGGUACCGGAAGAAUAAGCACCGGCUAACUACGUGCCAGCAGCCGCGGUAAUACGUAGGGUGCAAGCGUUAAUCGGAAUUACUGGGCGUAAAGCGUGCGCAGGCGGUUUGCUAAGACCGAUGUGAAAUCCCCGGGCUCAACCUGGGAACUGCAUUGGUGACUGGCAGGCUAGAGUAUGGCAGAGGGGGGUAGAAUUCCACGUGUAGCAGUGAAAUGCGUAGAGAUGUGGAGGAAUACCGAUGGCGAAGGCAGCCCCCUGGGCCAAUACUGACGCUCAUGCACGAAAGCGUGGGGAGCAAACAGGAUUAGAUACCCUGGUAGUCCACGCCCUAAACGAUGUCAACUAGUUGUUGGGGAUUCAUUUCCUUAGUAACGUAGCUAACGCGUGAAGUUGACCGCCUGGGGAGUACGGUCGCAAGAUUAAAACUCAAAGGAAUUGACGGGGUCAUAGCUGUUUCCU
Molecule: ribosomal RNA, 585 nt
Filed under: uncultured bacterium
Lineage: Bacteria
Description: partial 16S ribosomal RNA
Rfam family: Bacterial small subunit ribosomal RNA
Source: RNAcentral